Molecule: ribosomal RNA, 455 nt
Filed under: uncultured organism
Description: bacterial SSU rRNA
Rfam family: Bacterial small subunit ribosomal RNA
Source: RNAcentral
GUGCACCAGUCGAGAAUUUUUCUCAAUGGGGGAAACCCUGAAGGAGCGACGCCGCGUGGAGGAUGAAGGUCUUCGGAUUGUAAACUCCUGUCAUUUGGGAACAAUGCGCAUUGGUUAACUGCCGAUGCAUUGAUAGUACCAGAAGAGGAAGAGACGGCUAACUCUGUGCCAGCAGCCGCGGUAAUACAGAGGUCUCAAGCGUUGUUCGGAUUCAUUGGGCGUAAAGGGUGCGUAGGUGGCGGGGCAAGUCAGGUGUGAAAUCUCGGGGCUCAACCUCGAAACUGCACUUGAUACUGCCUUGCUUGAGUAUUGGAGAGGAGAUUGGAAUUUACGGUGUAGCAGUGAAAUGCGUAGAUAUCGUAAGGAAGACCAGUGGCGAAGGCGAAUCUCUGGACAAUUACUGACACUGAGGCACGAAGGCCAGGGGAGCAAACGGGAUUAGAUACCCCCGUAGU